AAUCCAUAGGUUAAUGAGGCGAACCGGGGGAACUGAAACAUCUAAGUACCCCGAGGAAAAGAAAUCAACCGAGAUUCCCCCAGUAGCGGCGAGCGAACGGGGAGGAGCCCAGAGCCUGAAUCAGCAUGUGUGUUAGUGGAAGCGUCUGGAAAGGCGCGCGAUACAGGGUGACAGCCCCGUACACAAAAGCGCAUGUGCUGUGAGCUCGAUGAGUAGGGCGGGACACGUGGUAUCCUGUCUGAAUAUGGGGGGACCAUCCUCCAAGGCUAAAUACUCCUGACUGACCGAUAGUGAACCAGUACCGUGAGGGAAAGGCGAAAAGAACCCCGGCGAGGGGAGUGAAAAAGAACCUGAAACCGUGUACGUACAAGCAGUGGGAGCACAGGUUUACCUGUGUGACUGCGUACCUUUUGUAUAAUGGGUCAGCGACUUAUAUUCUGUAGCAAGGUUAACCGAAUAGGGGAGCCGGAGGGAAACCGAGUCUUAAUUGGGCGUUAAGUUGCAGGGUAUAGACCCGAAACCCGGUGAUCUAGCCAUGGGCAGGUUGAAGGUUGGGUAACACUAACUGGAGGACCGAACCGACUAAUGUUGAAAAAUUAGCGGAUGACCUGUGGCUGGGGGUGAAAGGCCAAUCAAACCGGGAGAUAGCUGGUUCUCCCCGAAAGCUAUUUAGGUAGCGCCUCGUGAAUUCAUCUCCGGGGGUAGAGCACUGUUUCGGCUAGGGGGCCAUCCCGGCUUACCAACCCGAUGCAAACUGCGAAUACCGGAGAAUGUUAUCACGGGAGACACACGGCGGGUGCUAACGUCCGUCGUGAAGAGGGAAACAACCCAGACCGCCAGCUAAGGUCCCAAAGUCAUGGUUAAGUGGGAAACGAUGUGGGAAGGCCCAGACAGCCAGGAUGUUGGCUUAGAAGCAGCCAUCAUUUAAAGAAAGCGUAAUAGCUCACUGGUCGAGUCGGCCUGCGCGGAAGAUGUAACGGGGCUAAACCAUGCACCGAAGCUGCGGCAGCGACACUCAGGUGUUGUUGGGUAGGGGAGCGUUCUGUAAGCCUGCGAAGGUGGCCUGUGAGGG
RNAcentral lists this ribosomal RNA (1072 nucleotides) under Salmonella enterica subsp. enterica serovar Infantis. RNAcentral describes it as "partial 23S ribosomal RNA". It matches the Rfam family "Bacterial large subunit ribosomal RNA", at positions 161 to 1269 of the family's 2925-position model. The record is from RNAcentral. Lineage: Bacteria; Pseudomonadati; Pseudomonadota; Gammaproteobacteria; Enterobacterales; Enterobacteriaceae.